This 456-nucleotide ribosomal RNA is filed under the name Calchas kosswigi. Its description in RNAcentral is "partial large subunit ribosomal RNA". It matches the Rfam family "Bacterial large subunit ribosomal RNA", at positions 1940 to 2620 of the family's 2925-position model. Lineage: Eukaryota; Metazoa; Arthropoda; Arachnida; Scorpiones; Iuridae. The record is from RNAcentral.
GCGCCACGGUGCAAAGGUAGCAUAAUCAUUAGUCUUUUAAUUGGGGACUGGAAUGAAUGGUUUGACCAAAAUAGAGUUGUCUCUAGAAAAUAUUUUGAAUUUUAUUUUUUAGUAAGAAAGCUAAAAUAUNACCUAAGGGACGAGAAGACCCUAUUAAGUUUUACANAUUNAAAGNUAUUANUUUUCAAAUUNAAUNAUUUGUCUUGNUUUAGCUGGGGCAGCUGAUAAAAUUAAUUUUGUUUUUUUAUUAUNNAAUUUUAAAUUUUGUUAUAUCUUAGAAUCUNAAAAUUAAGAAUAAAUUACUGUAGGGAUAACAGCUUAAUUUCUUUAAAGAGUUCUUAUCAUCAAAGAAGUUUGUGACCUCGAUGUUGGAUUAAGAGUCCUUGUAGACGCAGAAGUUUAUUAAGGAAGUCUGUUCGACUUUUAAAUUCUUCCAUGAUCUGAGUUCAAAUCGAC